AGUGAACGCUGGCGGUAGGCCUAACACAUGCCAGUCGAACGGCAGCACAGUAAGAGCUUGCUCUUACGGGUGGCGAGUGGCGGACGGGUGAGGAAUACAUCGGAAUCUACUUUUUCGUGGGUGAUAACGUAGGGAAACUUACGCUAAUACCGCAUACGACCUACGGGUGAAAGCAGGGGAUCUUCGGACCUUGCGCGAUUGAAUGAGCCGAUGUCGGAUUAGCUAGUUGGCGGGGUAAAGGCCCACCAAGGCGACGAUCCGUAGCUGGUCUGAGAGGAUGAUCAGCCACACUGGAACUGAGACACGGUCCAGACCCCUACGGGAGGCAGCAGUGGGGAAUAUUGGACAAUGGGCGCAAGCCUGAUCCAGCCAUACCGCGUGGGUGAAGAAGGCCUUCGGGUUGUAAAGCCCUUUUGUUGGGAAAGAAAAGCAGCAGGUUAAUACCCCGCUGUUCUGACGGUACCCAAAGAAUAAGCACCGGCUAACUUCGUG
RNAcentral lists this ribosomal RNA (492 nucleotides) under uncultured bacterium. RNAcentral describes it as "partial 16S ribosomal RNA". It matches the Rfam family "Bacterial small subunit ribosomal RNA", at positions 29 to 507 of the family's 1533-position model. The record is from RNAcentral.